RNAcentral lists this long non-coding RNA (1201 nucleotides) under Elaeis guineensis (African oil palm). RNAcentral's name for it is "long non-coding RNA (EGUI_LNC029104)". The record is from RNAcentral. Lineage: Eukaryota; Viridiplantae; Streptophyta; Magnoliopsida; Arecales; Arecaceae.
UCGAUAUUUUAGUGUAAAUAAGUGCGAUCAGCUUUCCAGCUUUUUUGAAUGGGUGGCUUUCUUUUCCUUGGCUUGUGGAUGCAAUGUGGGUGGCUUUUAUUUUGAGCCAUUAGGAAGUUUCUGUUAUAGAUUUUUAACCUAUAAUAAUCUGCAACUCUGUGCUUUGAACCGUUGCAUUUUUUGAGUUAUUAUUACUGAUUAAUAAAGAGGUGGCUGCUUUCCCAGCCUCCUAUUUUCCCAGCCUCCUAUUUUUUUUGGGUGUCCAGUUGUUUCGCCUCACGAUUCCGCCUCCCUCUCUCAAAGAUUAGGGUUUGGGUUUAGGGUUUCUCUCUGCCACGAGAGCCCUCCUCUACUCCCACCUCCGACAAAGCCCUCGCUUCCACCUCGCUCGAUCCCUCCAUGGCCUCCCUUCGACCCCCAAUUCCCUCUUUCCGGAUCCUCGUCCAUUCGACCACCCAAAUCGCUUCCGAAUAGGAGGAGGAAGACGCCGCCCCUUCCCGCUUCGUCUGGGCGAUCUGCGGCAAGUUCGCCUCCGACCCUCGCCAAACAGACCCUGGACGCGAUGCUGCUCUUCGUUAAGCUUUUUUAUGGAUACCAUGGAGGUGAGCUUUUAUUUACAGCUGCAGAAUGAGUAAGAGAGGUAGAGGAGAGGUUGGUUGUAACUGGUGAUUUGCUGCCGAUCUCAACAUUACUCUUUAUUUCUUUUUUUCUUUUCUUUUCUUUUUUUUUUUUUGAGAUAAAACAUCACCAUAUUUCUUAUUUUAAAGGAAUGGGAGAUGUCAACUUAGCUAUGGUUACAGAUUGCGUCACGUAUAAGUUCAUUAAUCCUUAUCUCAUUGGCAAGAAUGUUUUUUUGGGAUUGGAGAACAGGAUCCAAGCCACCUUAGUCUUAGUCAUGGUUGGCACUUGCGAGAAAUUCUUUUGCAUUACGAAUUUUGGUAUUUGGUAUUAUUCAUAGACUUGUAUCUAGUCUAAAAUUGGAGUGAUGUAUUAUUGGUUGUGGUUGGAGUAUGUGCUUGGCGUUUUGAGCCAAGAAGGUAAACAUCAAUAUACGAACAAUGUAGAUUACCAUUUUGUUUCCUUUUUUAAUUUGCAUUGCUAAUCUUAAAUCUAGUUUCAAUUUUGCGAUGCUAGACCACCCUCGGAAAAGAAAUUGUUUCAUAUACCUCUUUUACAUAAGCACCACUGAAGGGAAGAUGAC